Molecule: ribosomal RNA, 370 nt
Filed under: uncultured organism
Description: partial 16S ribosomal RNA
Rfam family: Bacterial small subunit ribosomal RNA
Source: RNAcentral
GGAGGGGUGCAAGCGUUGUUCGGAUUUACUGGGCGUAAAGCGCGUGCAGGCGGGUCGGCAAGUCUUGUGUGUAAUCUCCCGGCUUAACCGGAAGCUGCACGGGAAACUACCGAUCUUGAGUGCGAGAGAGGAUGGCGGAAUUCCUGGUGUAGCGGUGAAAUGCGUAGAUAUCAGGAGGAACACCGGUGGCGAAGGCGGCCGUCUGGCUCGACACUGACGCUCAUACGCGAAGGCCGGGGGAGCAAACAGGAUUAGAUACCCUGGUAGUCCCGGCAGUAAACGUUGGACACUAGGUGUGGGAGGUUCGACCCCUUCUGUGCCGCAGCUAACGCAUUAAGUGUCCCGCCUGGGGAGUACGGCCGCAAGGUUG